AUGAGUUGCCUCUCAUGGAACUGCCGGGGGCUUGGGAACCCCGAGGUGGUUUGAGAACUUCGCAAUGUUGUGAAGCUAGAAGGACCCACUCUUCUCUUCGUCAUGGAAAAAAAAAUCAAAGGGAAGAGAGUUGAGGACUUGCAGAGACAUCUAGGCUUCGGCGGGUGCUUUGCAGUGGAUAGUGUUGGUCUAAGUGGUGGCAUUGGUUUGUUUUGGUCGCAUGAUGUU
RNAcentral lists this ribosomal RNA (228 nucleotides) under Triticum aestivum (bread wheat). RNAcentral describes it as "partial small subunit ribosomal RNA". Lineage: Eukaryota; Viridiplantae; Streptophyta; Magnoliopsida; Poales; Poaceae. The record is from RNAcentral.